Molecule: ribosomal RNA, 621 nt
Filed under: uncultured eukaryote
Lineage: Eukaryota
Description: SSU rRNA
Rfam family: Eukaryotic small subunit ribosomal RNA
Source: RNAcentral
AGUUAAAAAGCUCGUAGUUGGAUUUCGGAGUGGGCCAGUUGGUCCGCCGCAAGGUGUGUUACUGACUGGUCUGCUCUUCUUCGCAAAGACUGCGUGUGCUCUUUGUUGAGUGUGCGUAGGAUUUACGACGUUUACUUUGAAAAAAUUAGAGUGUUCAAAGCAGGCUAUUGCUUGAAUACAUGAGCAUGGAAUAAUGGAAUAGGACUUUGGUCCCAUUUUGUUGGUUUCUAGGGCCGAAGUAAUGAUUAAGAGGGACAAUUGGGGGCAUCCGUAUUUCGUUGUCAGAGGUGAAAUUCUCGGAUUUACGAAAGACGAACAACUGCGAAAGCACUUGCCAAGAGUGUUUUCAUUAAUCAAGAACGAAAGUUAGAGGAUCGAAGACGAUCAGAUACCGUCCUAGUUCUAACCAUAAACGAUGUCGACUAGGGAUCAGCGGGCGUUAUCGUACGACCCCGUUGGCACCUUACGGGAAACCAAAGUUUCUGGAUUCCGGGGGAAGUAUGGUUGCAAAGCUGAAACUUAAAGGAAUUGACGGAAGGGCACCACCAGGAGUGGAGCCUGUGGCUCAAUUUGACUCAACACGGGAAAACUUACCAGGUCCAGACAUAGUAAGGAUUGACA